Danio rerio (zebrafish) is the source of this 477-nucleotide non-coding RNA. The record is from RefSeq and is a predicted model, not a curated record. Lineage: Eukaryota; Metazoa; Chordata; Actinopteri; Cypriniformes; Danionidae.
AGAAGUGCACGCACUACUUGGCGGGAAACGUGAAAGUAUAAAUAAGACUCGCGCACGCGCUCACACACAGUCAGUGCAGAAUUUCUCUCAGAAGUUGUCGGCGGUGCCCUCCAUCAUGUUUGGAUUUGUACGAGCGCUUAAAAGAACGAGAUGUACACCUGGACAACGUGUCUUUCCCUUUAGCCACCGUUUCUACAUUAACUCCAAAUCAGCUAAAAGCAGUGUCGGCGUUGUGGAGAGCGUAUUUGUGAUGACCUUCAUCUCUCUUGCUGUUCUUGGUCCGGCAGCAUGGUUGCUGUCCAAAUCAUCUGAUACCCACAAAAAACAGCAGUGAGGAAGAAUGACGAUGCCUUCUGCCAGAGGACCAGACAUCUGUGUAUUCUAGCAGUUUCAGUUGUACACUAACCUACCAUCAGUGUGUGUCAAUGUCAAAUAUGCAUUUAAAUAUGGUGAUCAAAUACAACCUUUUCAAUACCC